Molecule: ribosomal RNA, 669 nt
Filed under: uncultured bacterium
Lineage: Bacteria
Description: bacterial SSU rRNA
Rfam family: Bacterial small subunit ribosomal RNA
Source: RNAcentral
CGAACGAGGUAGCAAUACUUAGUGGCAGACGGGUGAGUAACAUGUAGGUAUCUUCCCUUUGGUGAGGAAUAACACGAGGAAACUUGUGCUAAUACCUCAUAAGUCUUUACGGAGAAAGCUUUAUGCGCCAAUGGAUGAGCCUGCACUUGAUUAGUUUGUUGGUGGGGUAAUGGCCUACCAAGACAAUGAUCAAUAGCUGAUUUGAGAGGAUGAUCAGCCACAUUGGGACUGAGACACGGCCCAAACUCCUACGGGAGGCAGCAGUAGGGAAUCUUGCACAAUGGGGGAAACCCUGAUGCAGCGAUGCCGCGUGAGUGAAGAAGGCCUUUGGGUUGUAAAGCUCUUUCGUCGGGGAAGAAAAUGACUGUACCCGAAUAAGAAGGUCCGGCUAACUUCGUGCCAGCAGCCGCGGUAAUACGAAGGGACCUAGCGUAGUUCGGAAUUACUGGGCUUAAAGAGUUCGUAGGUGGUUAAAAAAGUUGGUGGUGAAAUCCCAGAGCUUAACUCUGGAACUGCCAUCAAAACUUUUUAGCUAGAGUAUGAUAGAGGAAAGCAGAAUUUCUAGUGUAGAGGUGAAAUUCGUAGAUAUUAGAAAGAAUACCAAUUGCGAAGGCAGCUUUCUGGAUCAUUACUGUCACUGAGGAACGAAAGCAUGGGUAGCGAAGAGGA